AAUAAGUAAAUGAUGAUUAAAAAAAAAAAAAAAUCCAUAAUCUAGUACAUAAUUAGCAAAAUACAUAUCUACCGUUAAAGAAAAAUAAUACUUAGAAUAAAAAAUCUUUGGCAACCUUAUCUUUGUUUAGAAUGAGCAACAGAUGUCCCAAACACAUGCUCUACUUUUAGUUAAGAUAGAGGAAUGGGGAAGGGGAAGGGGAAGGGAAAGGGGAAGUGGAAGGGAAUGAAUCUUUUUUAAACAAAUUAUCUUUAUAUGUGCAUAUAUAAUUAUAUGCAUGUAUAAAUGUUAGUACUCUUACUACUAGCAUAGUAUUCAAUGCUAAGCUCCUCACUUUUUAAGGCAUCAAAGCAACUGUGACACUUCAUUGUUACCCUGGAUCCCCAUUGAACGGCCUCUCCCUGCAAAUUACCUUUAUCUAGGGACCUCUGUGUGGUUUCUUUGCUCCCUCUGUGUUUCAUCUCUUUAUUGCUGCAGAAAUCUCACCACCAAUAUGUUACUGUUGAAUUUCAAUCAACAUCUUUUUCGUCUUACUUUGCAGAAUUUUGGCAUCCCAGAGAUUCAGUCAGCCCUACCUUGCAAGGAAAAAAAAAAAUGUUUUUUCCACAGCAGACAAAAUAAAGAAUUUUCCUCAACUUUCUUCUGAGAGAAAAGACUACAGUGCUUUUAAAAUAUAGACUGAAUCUAUAUGGACUAAGGAAAAAAAAAAAAAAAAACAGGAAGCGGUUAUAGAAAACAUGAAAGUGUCAACCAUUGCUGAAGAGAGGAAGUCAUUAGAUGGACCUUUGAUAGUACUGUGUAGAAAUUCUUGUUAUGCAGGCAGCUGAUCCCUUCAAAGAGAUCAAAACCUUGGAUGCAAACCUGUUUAAUGUGCUUCUUAAUUUUAUCUCUCUGUGA
RNAcentral lists this long non-coding RNA (897 nucleotides) under Anas platyrhynchos platyrhynchos (common mallard). RNAcentral's name for it is "lncRNA (ENSAPLG00000025106.1)". Lineage: Eukaryota; Metazoa; Chordata; Aves; Anseriformes; Anatidae. The record is from RNAcentral.